Molecule: ribosomal RNA, 780 nt
Filed under: Neocallimastix frontalis
Lineage: Eukaryota; Fungi; Neocallimastigomycota; Neocallimastigomycetes; Neocallimastigales; Neocallimastigaceae
Description: partial large subunit ribosomal RNA
Rfam family: Eukaryotic large subunit ribosomal RNA
Source: RNAcentral
GCAUAUCAAUAAGCGGAGGAAAAGAAACUAACAAGGAUUCCCUUAGUAACGGCGAGUGAAGCGGGAAGAGCUCAAAUUUGAAAUCUUCAAGGUUCUACCUUGCCGAAUUGUAGUUUAAAGAAGUGUUUUCUGUUAGAUGAGUAGCAAAAGUUCCUUGGAAUGGGACAUCAUAGAGGGUGAGAAUCCCGUAUUUGGUUAUUCAUUCUAGCUUUGUGAUACACUUUCAAAGAGUCGGAUUGUUUGGGAAUGCAGUCCAAAAUGGGUGGUAAAUUUCAUCUAAAGCUAAAUAUUGGCGAGAGACCGAUAGCGAACAAGUACCGUGAGGGAAAGAUGAAAAGAACUUUGAAAAGAGAGUUAAACAGUACGUGAAAUUGUCAAAAGGGAAGCGUUUGACACCAGUGUUGUUUUUCCGAAAAUCAAUUACGAAUGGCUUGAUUCUGUGUUGUAUUGACUUUAUCAGCUUUCUUCACUUUUUUCGAGUCUUUCUUAAUGCACUUUUCGGUUAACAAGUCAACAUCAAUUUCUUUUGUUGUAAAAGAGUAUUCGGAAGGUGGCUUUCUUUUCGGAGAAAGUGUUUAUAGCCCUAUACUUCUACGAUCGGAGAGAUUGAGGUCUGCAGCGUAGAUCCUUCGGGGUUAGAUACAUUUGUGCUAAGUUGUAGCUUUUCAUAGACAACUUGUUGACUAUGUUUAGUCAUGCGGCUUACUCGCUUAUGCUAUUUUACCUACGCUUAGGAUGUUGACAAAAUGGUUUUAAACGACCCGUCUUGAAACACGGACC